Molecule: non-coding RNA, 77 nt
Organism: Trichonephila inaurata madagascariensis
Lineage: Eukaryota; Metazoa; Arthropoda; Arachnida; Araneae; Nephilidae
Source: the annotation of a GenBank genome assembly
GACUCGGUGGAGGAUUGCAAUGGUAGCACAUCUGACUCCAAAUCAGUAGGUUGCGUUUUCAAAUUACGUCCGGGUAA